Molecule: ribosomal RNA, 752 nt
Filed under: uncultured Glomeromycotina
Lineage: Eukaryota; Fungi; Glomeromycota
Description: SSU rRNA
Rfam family: Eukaryotic small subunit ribosomal RNA
Source: RNAcentral
GGCCUACCAUGGUGGUAACGGGUAACGGGGUGUUAGGGCACGACACCGGAGAGGGAGCCUGAGAAACGGCUACCACAUCCAAGGAAGGCAGCAGGCGCGCAAAUUACCCAAUCCCGACACGGGGAGGUAGUGACAAUAAAUAACAAUACAGGGUUCUUUUGGAUCUUGUAAUUGGAAUGAGUACAAUUUAAAUCUCUUAACGAGGAACAAUUGGAGGGCAAGUCUGGUGCCAGCAGCCGCGGUAAUUCCAGCUCCAAUAGCGUAUAUUAAAGUUGUUGCAGUUAAAAAGCUCGUAGUUGAAUUUCGGAAUCAAUAUAUCGGUCGUGCCUUGGUACGUACUGGUAUCAUUGAUUUCUCCCUUCUGACGAACCAUGAUGUCAUUAAUUUGGUGUUAUGGGGAGUUAGGACUGUUACUUUGAAAAAAUUAGAGUGUUUAAAGCAAGCAUUAGCUUGAAUACAUUAGCAUGGAAUAAUGAAAUAGGACGUUUGACCCUAUUUUGUUGGUUUCUAGGAUCGACGUAAUGAUUAAUAGGGAUAGUUGGGGGCAUUAGUAUUCAAUUGUCAGAGGUGAAAUUCUUGGAUUUAUUGAAGACUAACUACUGCGAAAGCAUUUGCCAAGGAUGUUUUCAUUAAUCAAGAACGAAAGUUAGGGGAUCGAAGACGAUCAGAUACCGUCGUAGUCUUAACCAUAAACUAUGCCGACUAGGGAUCGGAUGAUGUUAAUUUUAUAAUGACUCAUUCGGCGCCUUACG